RNAcentral lists this ribosomal RNA (255 nucleotides) under Triticum aestivum (bread wheat). Its description in RNAcentral is "partial small subunit ribosomal RNA". Lineage: Eukaryota; Viridiplantae; Streptophyta; Magnoliopsida; Poales; Poaceae. The record is from RNAcentral.
AUGAAAUCAUUAUAUCAACAACUGAUAAAAACGGAUGUGGGUUUCCCACACAAAUUCCUUUGGAAAAUAAAAAUUCCAGCGAAAAUUAAGAUGUUUCUAUGGCUGUUUGCCAGGAAAAGUAUACUGACUAGAGAUAACCUUGCUAAAAAAGGAUGGAAAGGGGAUCAAAAGUGUGUUUUUUGUGGUCAAGAUGAAACAAUAGACCACCUUUUUUUUCUCUUGUUCAGCCGCAAAAUUACUUUGGAGUUUAAUUAG